AGCUCCCUGUCAAUGGGCCAAGAGACACCUUGUUGGUGGUAUUCCUAUAUUAGUCAGGGGCAGAGCAGAUGGCAAUCCUUUGUUCAUCCUAGCUUGUUGCCUGGCUUGGUGACCAAAGCUGUUUUCUGCCUAGGACACAUAA
This is a small nucleolar RNA of Acomys russatus (golden spiny mouse), 142 nucleotides long. RefSeq annotates it as small nucleolar RNA SNORA48. The transcript has a single exon. The record is from RefSeq and is a predicted model, not a curated record. Lineage: Eukaryota; Metazoa; Chordata; Mammalia; Rodentia; Muridae.